UACGGAGGGUGCAAGCGUUGUCCGGAUUUAUUGGGUUUAAAGGGUGCGUAGGCGGUCAAUUAAGUCAGUGGUGAAAUCCCUCAGCUCAACUGAGGAACUGCCAUUGAAACUGUUUGACUUGAGUACAGACGAGGUAGGCGGAAUGAGUCAUGUAGCGGUGAAAUGCAUAGAUAUUACACAGAACACCGAUAGCGAAGGCAGCUUGCCAGACUGCGAUUGACACUAAUGCACGAAAGCGUGGGUAGCGAACAGG
Molecule: ribosomal RNA, 253 nt
Filed under: uncultured bacterium
Lineage: Bacteria
Description: partial 16S ribosomal RNA
Rfam family: Bacterial small subunit ribosomal RNA
Source: RNAcentral